Molecule: long non-coding RNA, 640 nt
Organism: Ictalurus punctatus (channel catfish)
Lineage: Eukaryota; Metazoa; Chordata; Actinopteri; Siluriformes; Ictaluridae
Source: Ensembl
UUUUAGUGUUGUUGCUGUAGUUUUAGUUUUGUUGCUGUAGUUUUAGUGUUGUUGCAGUAGUUUUAGUGUUGUUGUGGUGUUUUUAGUGUUGUUGCUGUAGUUUUAGUGUUGUUGCAGUAUUUUAGUGUUGUUGCUGUAGUUUUAGUUUUGUUGUUGUAUUUGUUUUGUUGCAGUAGUUUUAGUUUGUUUUGUUGCAGUAGUUUUAGUUUGUUUUGUUGCAGUAGUUUUAGUUUGUUUUGUUGCAGUAGUUUUAGUUGUUUUGUUGCAGUAGUUUUAGUGUUGUUGCUGUAGUUUUAGUGUUGUUGCUGUAGUUUUAGUUUUUGUUGUUGCUGUAGUUUUAGUUUUGUUGUUGUAGUUUUAGUUUUUUUGUUGUAGUUUUAGUUUGUUUGUUGCAGUAGUUUUAGUUUGUUUUGUUGCAGUAGUUUUAGUUUGUUUUGUUGCAGUAGUUUUAGUUUGUUUUGUUGCAGUAGUUUUAGUUUGUUUUGUUGCAGUAGUUUUAGUGUUGUUGCAGUAGUUUUAGUGUUGUUGCAGUAGUUUUAGUUUUGUUGCUGUAGUUUUAGUGUUGUUGCUGUAGUUUUAGUGUUGUUGCUGUAGUUUUAGUGUUGUUGCUGUAGUUUUAGUGUUGUUGCAGUAGUUUUAG